Molecule: ribosomal RNA, 477 nt
Filed under: Euphractus sexcinctus
Lineage: Eukaryota; Metazoa; Chordata; Mammalia; Cingulata; Chlamyphoridae
Description: partial 16S ribosomal RNA
Rfam family: Bacterial large subunit ribosomal RNA
Source: RNAcentral
UAUUAGAGGCACUGCCUGCCCAGUGACAUAUGUUCAACGGCCGCGGUACCCUGACCGUGCAAAGGUAGCAUAAUCAUUUGUUCUCUAACUAAGGACCUGUAUGAACGGCCACACGAGGAUUCCACUGUCUCCUAUUUCCAAUCAGUGAAAUUGACCUUCCCGUGAAGAGGCGGGAAUAAUACUAUAAGACGAGAAGACCCUGUGGAGCUUAAAUUAAUCAGCCCAGUUAAUAACCACUAAACACCAAUAGGAAUAAACACACAUAACAUGAGCUGCCAAUUUUGGUUGGGGUGACCUCGGAGCAAAACAAACCCUCCGAAUGAUAAGUACUAAGACCUACAAGUCAAAGUCCACAGUAUCACUUAUUGACCCAAAAUAUUGAUCACCGAACCCAGUUACCCCAGGGAUAACAGCGCAUUCCUAUUCAGAACCCUUAUCGCCAUUAGGGUUUACGACCUCGAUGUUGGAUCAGGACAU